GUAUCCUGGCUCAGGAUGAACGCUAGCUACAGGCUUAACACAUGCAAGUCGAGGGGCAGCAUGGUCUUAGCUUGCUAAGGCUGAUGGCGACCGGCGCACGGGUGAGUAACACGUAUCCAACCUGCCGUCUACUCUUGGCCAGCCUUCUGAAAGGAAGAUUAAUCCAGGAUGGGAUCAUGAGUUCACAUGUCCGCAUGAAUUAAAGGUAUUUUCCGGUAGACGAUGGGG
Molecule: ribosomal RNA, 228 nt
Filed under: uncultured bacterium
Lineage: Bacteria
Description: partial 16S ribosomal RNA
Rfam family: Bacterial small subunit ribosomal RNA
Source: RNAcentral